Molecule: ribosomal RNA, 375 nt
Filed under: uncultured bacterium
Lineage: Bacteria
Description: SSU rRNA
Rfam family: Bacterial small subunit ribosomal RNA
Source: RNAcentral
AGAACGAACGCUGGCGGCGUGGAUAAGACAUGCAAGUCGAGCGCUGAUUACAGGGUAGCAAUAUCUUGUAGUUGGAGCGGCGCAAGGGUGCGUAACACGUGGGUAAUCUGCCAUAAAGAUUGGAAUAACUUGCUGAAAGGCGAGCUAAUACCGAAUGUGACGAUUGGAAGGCAUCUUCUGAUUUUCAAAGCUGGGGAUCCGUAAGGACCUGGCGCUUUAUGAUGAGCCCGCGGCCUAUCAGCUAGUUGGUGAGGUAAUGGCUCACCAAGGCUAAGACGGGUAGCUGGUCUGAGAGGACGACCAGCCACACUGGAACUGAGACACGGUCCAGACCACCGUACGGGUGGCAGCAGUCGAGUAAUUUUCACAAUGGCG